Molecule: transfer RNA, 72 nt
Filed under: candidate division WWE3 bacterium
Lineage: Bacteria; candidate division WWE3
Description: tRNA-Gly
Source: RNAcentral
GGGAAGGUAGUUUAUUUAAAAUCCUUACGUUCCACGUGAGAGACGUCGGUUGAAUACCGGCCCUUCCCUCCA